RNAcentral lists this long non-coding RNA (1211 nucleotides) under Taeniopygia guttata (zebra finch). Its description in RNAcentral is "lncRNA (ENSTGUG00000019744.1)". Lineage: Eukaryota; Metazoa; Chordata; Aves; Passeriformes; Estrildidae. The record is from RNAcentral.
GUGUUGCUCAAAGAAAAAGCUACCAACUUGUAAUGAGGAUGCAGGAGCAUGAAUUUGCAAAACUGGCCUCUCCAAGAGUCUGCACAAGAUGUAGAUGCCAGCAGUUUUCUUCUGCUGGCUGAAUGUAAAGGUGAAAACAAAUGUGACAACCUUUCACUCCCAAGGGAGAGAAGGAGAAAUUGAAGGUUUGGAUCGCAACUUCAAGAGGCUGGCAAAGAGCCAUAAACCUACACACACCAAGAGACAGGAAUGAAGUCAUAAUUUGUAAUGAUGCUGAGUACUGCAAGAUCUUCCAACCAACAGCCAAAAGAGCACACUGAAAGGAAGAGAUGGUACAGGAAUGAAUCCUCAGACGGGAACACAAACAGAAGUCGGAUUUCUAGGAGCAUAAUAAUGUUUGUCUGCUGAGGACUCAGUCCUGCCUGACCUUUCUUGUUUGUUUUUUCAUUACUUAAUUGCUUUUAUAUCAGAGAAGUCUGACACUGCUUCCUUGGGAAAGCAGGAAGAUUUAUGCUGAGAUUAUGGCAGGCAGCAGUUAUGAUUUCAUUGUAUAAUACUAAGAUUGUAAUUUUGUGUGCUUACACAGAAUGUUUAAUGAACACAUUAAGCUAGAUGCAUUUUAUUUCAGUCUGUAUAGCAGCCUAAAUGGUAAAACAGUUUGAGACACUUGUUUAUUUGGAAUUAAAGCUCAGAUUCAGUGUUUAAGCAUCUUGCUGAAUUGGGGGACCAUGGUGUGAUUUAAUGGUUCAAAUAAGAGCCUUGUUAUUGAUCCAACCUUAGCGAUCUGUAAACUCAGAAGAUUUUCUGACUGGUGGGAAAUAAUACUGUACUAGCAUGGUAACCUUUCAGACCUUUCCAACACAAAAGAAGGUAAGUUUAUUGAAGGCUAUAGAUACUAUCACAUUUUUCAUGUUCAGUCAGUUUACAUGCUGAUAAUGUGAAGGUUAUAGGGUGAAUUGUACAAUUUUUAGGGUGGAAAUUACUGUCACAGACAUAAAACGCUUCAUAACAUUUUGAUUUCUCUUAAUUUUUAUUUCCUUUCAUAUUGUUUGAAGAUAGAUUCUUCCCCUUCAAAACUGACUUGCUGCAAAAAGUAGAUGUUGAAACUGGGUUAUUUAAUUCCAAAGCUUACUAAAUAUCUAAGCUGAUGGGGCUUUGCAAAUAGUAAGACUGUAUUGCUUUAGCUACUAAUAAUGCAGCUACUAUUUGGG